Molecule: ribosomal RNA, 267 nt
Filed under: uncultured bacterium
Lineage: Bacteria
Description: partial 16S ribosomal RNA
Rfam family: Bacterial small subunit ribosomal RNA
Source: RNAcentral
GACGAACGCUGGCGGCGUGCUUAACACAUGCAAGUCGAGCGGUAAGGCCCUUUCGGGGUACGACGAGCGGCGAACGGGUGAGUAACACGUGGGUGACCUGCCCUCAGCUCUGGGAUAAGCCGUGGGAAACCGGGUCUAAUACUGGAUAUGACUCCAUGACGCAUGUUGUGGGGUGGAAAGCCUUGUGCGGCUGAGGAUGGGCCCGCGGCCUAUCAGCUUGUUGGUGGGGUGANGGCCUACCAAGGCGACGACGGGUAGCCGGCCUGA